Pygocentrus nattereri (red-bellied piranha) is the source of this 98-nucleotide small nucleolar RNA. Ensembl annotates it as Z30 small nucleolar RNA. Its record names the gene SNORD7. The record is from Ensembl. NCBI's taxonomy places the organism in Eukaryota, Metazoa, Chordata, Actinopteri, Characiformes, Serrasalmidae.
UUGCAUUGAUGAGCUGUGAUUGUGUCUGACCUGGUAUUGCUAUUCCUCCGGGAAUAGUUUUGACCAAAGCCUGGAGACUUAAUCUUCUCUCUGAGCAG